RNAcentral lists this ribosomal RNA (433 nucleotides) under uncultured bacterium. Its description in RNAcentral is "partial 16S ribosomal RNA". It matches the Rfam family "Bacterial small subunit ribosomal RNA", at positions 29 to 507 of the family's 1533-position model. The record is from RNAcentral.
AACGAACGCUGGCGGCAUGCCUAACACAUGCAAGUCGAACGAGACCUUCGGGUCUAGUGGCGCACGGGUGCGUAACGCGUGGGAACCUGCCCUUAGGUUCGGAAUAACUCCCCGAAAGGGGUGCUAAUACCGGAUAAUGUCUUCGGACCAAAGAUUUAUCGCCUUUGGAUGGGCCCGCGUUGGAUUAGCUAGUUGGUAGGGUAAAAGCCUACCAAGGCGACGAUCCAUAGCUGGUCUGAGAGGAUGAUAAGCCACACUGGGACUGAGACACGGCCCAGACUCCUACGGGAGGCAGCAGUGGGGAAUAUUGGACAAUGGGCGAAAGCCUGAUCCAGCAAUGCCGCGUGAGUGAUGAAGGCCUUAGGGUUGUAAAGCUCUUUUAACCGGGAUGAUAAUGACAGUACCGGGAGAAUAAGCUCCGGCUAACUCCGUG